Papaver somniferum (opium poppy) is the source of this 2145-nucleotide long non-coding RNA. RefSeq lists it as uncharacterized. Lineage: Eukaryota; Viridiplantae; Streptophyta; Magnoliopsida; Ranunculales; Papaveraceae. The record is from RefSeq and is a predicted model, not a curated record. The transcript is spliced from 5 exons.
AAAACCCCUAGGUUUCUUUUCCCCUUAAUUUUUCCCUUUUCUCUCUUCUUCGUUUUAUCUCUAACCUAAGUCACAGCGGCGGCCAUCACUCCCCUCCACUGAAUCCUUCUCUAUCUCGCUCUAUGAAACGGAUCGAUCACCGAAUCACUCUUUCUAUUCAACAAGGACAUUGAAGAGCGAAUAAAGUUGUGAACAUCUAUGGAUUACUCGAGAUUUAUUUAUUUUUUCUUCUGUUAUUAACUGAAUUUGAGGUUUUAUUUUCUUUCUCAGUUUUUUUUUUUAAUUGCAAGCAAGAUUUCAUCUCUAAUGAUCAUUGAAGGGUUGAAAUUGGUUUUUAUUUCAAUUUUUUCUGUGUUAUUGAACGCUAAAGCAUUUUAUUAUUGGAAUAAUGGGUUAUUGAAGAACAAUUUGAAUUUUAUGUUUUUUCAUUUUCUAUUGAUGAUCUUUCUGAGUUGAAAUUUAGGGUCUGAAGCAUUGUGCCUAGUUUUCUUCUGUUCUAACUUUUCUUAAUUCGUUUCUAUUUUUGUUAAAUUAUAUUAAAUUGUUUAGUUUUUCUUAAUUUUAAUCACCUGUUAGGGUUUAUAUUUAUAUAAUGGGUAUCUGCAGUUGGUGUUUAUCUAGGAUAACUGCUUGCUAGUUAUUAUCUGCCUUACAUGUUUGUGAAUAAGAGUUUCUAGUGUAAAUCUCAUACGAUUUUGUACAACCGUAACUCUCUUUUAUUUAUAAUGCUCUUUUGGAUGGUUUUCCAUUAUUCUGUAAAGACAAAGUUCAGGGAAUGACUCAGGCAGACAUCUUGAUCAGGAGAGGUUCGGUUAGAAUGAAUUGGUUGUAGUGUUACCAAAUGAGUUGGAAGUAAUCAGUUGGAGUUACCUUAUUGAAGUUUAUAUCUUUUGUAUAGUGAUUUUCUUUGGAGAACUGUUUAUGAUUUGGAUGACAUCUUGCACAUUCAUGGAGUUGUUUGUAGAUUAUCUGUGUUCGUAAAAUUGGUUCAUUUGUUGUAUAGAUAAAAUUAUGUAAGAUGCCUAUUAUUUGUCCUCACAUGGCUUAAUAUGAUGCUAGUUGAUUAUGUUGUGCAACCUGUGUCCUUGGAUUUAAAUACAUGGUAGAUAUUGUUAGGUUGAUUGUCUCCUCUUGGAUGCAACCUGAACCUCUUUACUAGUUGUUGUUGCAAAGUUGAGAUGUGAUAGACUAUCUUUAAAUAAACCGCAUAAUAUUAUAGAAAAUAUGCUUGUAAAAAAAUCACAACUAUAGCCUAACCUCAAUUAAUUGUUUUUCCUACUGUUUGUCGCUUAAAUUAUGCCCAGAUAUUUGUACAAGUACGGUUAUACAAAAGUCACAACUGUAACAUAGCUUUAGUGAAUGUGUUUUUCUACUUGUUUUUCUUUGUGUCUUGCAUCAAAGUGAUACUGGAAAAAGAAGACUUGCCUUCACAUUUGGAUUUGGAUGUAGUCGCCAGUAUGACUGAUGGGUGUUCAAAUCUCUGUGUUCCUACAAAGUACUGUUCAAUAACAGAGAAUUCUGGAAAAGGAGGAGGAGAAGCAGCAUUAGCAGCUGGAAGGCCCCCUUCCACACUGAGUGUGAGUAUGGAAAAAUACUCAUGAGCAGGUGGGUGCAAGUGUAUCAUCAGAAUCUUUUCCAACACGAACGAAUUUAAUGGUGAAAGUGGUUGGAGAAGGACAAAGCCGCCUAUGCUGCAGGAAGCGCGCAAAAAGCUUCAUUUGUCGAUUUGGAGAUCUCUCAUUGCCGUCCUUAAGCAUUUGUGUGGACUCAUGCAGCUUGUGAGCUGUUUCCUGAGUUGGACUAGGUUUGAAUGCUUCGCCUCCCUUCCUAGACCCUGCAAAACACAUACAUACCGAAGUAAGGUAACAGAUGGACUAUGAAGUAACAGAUGGGCUAUGAAUGGUCAGAGCUUAGUGAGUACAAACCCAGAUGCUGACUUUCAGCUGCUACCAAUCCCUCAAUAACAGCCUAUGUCCCGAGUGUCCUUGAUGUCUCUUAGUACUUUGGUGAUUGGUCACACGAAUAUGUUCCAAGUUUUUUGCUGUCUUAUAUUGGUUAACCAGAAGAGGUGGAUGGAUUUUGUAGUUGACUUCGUUGUAUUAUUUUUAGAAUAAAAUCCAUAUUUGUUUUUGCAUUGUACCCUUG